This 429-nucleotide ribosomal RNA is filed under the name Acidobacteriota bacterium. RNAcentral's name for it is "Acidobacteria bacterium partial 16S ribosomal RNA". It matches the Rfam family "Bacterial small subunit ribosomal RNA", at positions 355 to 776 of the family's 1533-position model. Lineage: Bacteria; Pseudomonadati; Acidobacteriota. The record is from RNAcentral.
UGGGGAAUUUUGGACAAUGGGGGAAACCCUGAUCCAGCCAUCCCGCGUGUGCGAUGAAGGCCUUCGGGUUGUAAAGCACUUUUGGCAGGAAAGAAACGGCAUGGGUUAAUACCCCGGGAAACUGACGGUACCUGCAGAAUAAGCACCGGCUAACUACGUGCCAGCAGCCGCGGUAAUACGUAGGGUGCAAGCGUUAAUCGGAAUUACUGGGCGUAAAGCGUGCGCAGGCGGUUCGGAAAGAAAGAUGUGAAAUCCCAGAGCUCAACUUUGGAACUGCAUUUUUAACUACCGGGCUAGAGUGUGUCAGAGGGAGGUGGAAUUCCGCGUGUAGCAGUGAAAUGCGUAGAUAUGCGGAGGAACACCGAUGGCGAAGGCAGCCUCCUGGGAUAACACUGACUCUCAUGCUCGAAAGCGUGGGGCGCAAACAGG